GACGAACGCUGGCGGCGUGCUUAACACAUGCAAGUCGAACGGAAAGGCCCUGCUUGCAGGGUCCUCGAGUGGCGAACGGGUGAGUAACACGUGGGUGAUCUGCCCUGCACUUCGGGAUAAGCCUGGGCAACUGGGUCUAAUACCGGAUAGGAGCCAUUUUUAGUGUGAUGGUUGGAAAGUUUUUUCGGUGUAGGAUGAGCUCGCGGCCUAUCAGCUUGUUGGUGGGGUAAUGGCCUACCAAGGCGGCGACGGGUAGCCGGCCUGAGAGGGUGGACGGCGACAUUGGGACUGAGAUACGGCCCAGACGCCGACGGGAGGCAGAAGGGGGGAAUAUUGCACAAUGGGCGCAAGCCUGAUGCAGCGGCGCCGCGGGUGGGAUGACGGCCUUCGGGUUGUAAACUCCUUGCGCUAGGGACGAAGCUUGUUGUGACGGUACCUAGAUAAGAAGCACCGGCUAACUACGUG
This 465-nucleotide ribosomal RNA is filed under the name uncultured bacterium. RNAcentral's name for it is "partial 16S ribosomal RNA". It matches the Rfam family "Bacterial small subunit ribosomal RNA", at positions 28 to 507 of the family's 1533-position model. The record is from RNAcentral.